AGUGGAUGGGGAGCAACCUAGUUGUGCGUGUGUAAAGGUAGUGCCAAGAAAAGCGAUGAUCAUGUUGAAAAUCAAUUCCCGGUACCCGAAACCGACACAGGUGGGCAAGUAGAGAAUACUAAGGGGCGCGAGGUAACUCUCUCCAAGGAACUCGGCAAAAUGACCCCGUAACUUAGGGAAAGGGGUGCCACCGAGAGGUGGUCGCAGUGAAGAGGCCCAGGCGACUGUUUAGCAAAAACAUAGGUCUCUGCAAACUCGAAAGAGGAGGUAUAGGGGCUGACGCCUGCCCAGUGCCGGAAGGUUAAAGAAGUUGGUCAGUUUUAGGAUGAAGCUAGCGACUGAAGCCCCGGUGAACGGCGGCCGUAACUAUAACGGUCCUAAGGUAGCGAAAUUCCUUGUCGGGUAAGUUCCGACCCGCACGAAAGGCGUAACGAUCUGGGCGCUGUCUCGGAGAGAGGCUCGGCGAAAUAGGAUUGUCUGUGAAGAUACGGACUACCUGCAUUUGGACAGAAAGACCCUAUGAAGCUUUACUAUAGCUUGGAAUUGUGUUCGGGCUUCCUGUGCGCAGGAUAGGUGGGAGGCGUAGAAGGUAUUCUUGUGGGGAUACUGGAGCCAACGGUGAGAUACCACUCUCAGGAGGCUAGAAUUCUAACUUAAUUAAGGACAGUUUCAGGUGGGUAGUUUGACUGGGGCGGUCGCCUCCAAAAAGGUAACGGAGGCGUACAAAGGUUCCCUCAGACUGGUUGGAAAUCAGUCGAAGAGUGCAAAGGCAGAAGGGAGCUUGACUGCGAGAAGUACAGUUCGAGCAGGGUGGAAACACGGUCUUAGUGAUCCGACGGUGCUGUGUGGAAGGGCCGUCGCUCAACGGAUAAAAGUUACUCUAAGGAUAACAGGCUGAUCUCCCCCAAGAGUUCACAUCGACGGGGAGGUUUGGCACCUCGAUGUCGGCUCAUCGCAACCUGGGGCGGAAGUACGUCCCAAGGGUUGGGCUGUUCGCCCAUUAAAGCGGUACGUGAGCUGGGUUCAGAACGUCGUGAGACAGUUCGGUCCAUAUCCGAUGUAGGCGUGAGAAUAUUGAGAGGAGCCUUCCUUAGUACGAGAGGACCGGGAAGGACGCACCGCUGGUGUACCUGUUAUGAUGCCAAUUGUAAACGCAGGGUAGCCAAGUGCGGAGAGGAUAACCGCUGAAAGCAUCUAAGUGGGAAGCCCACCUCAAGAUGAGUAUUCUGGUGUAAGGUCACGGGAAGACGACCCGUAAAUAGGCACGAGGUGGAAGUGCAGAGAUGUAUGAAGCCGAAGUGUACUAAUAGACCGUCGGCUUGAC
RNAcentral lists this ribosomal RNA (1324 nucleotides) under metagenome. Its description in RNAcentral is "bacterial LSU rRNA". It matches the Rfam family "Bacterial large subunit ribosomal RNA", at positions 1561 to 2925 of the family's 2925-position model. The record is from RNAcentral.